UCCGGUUGAUCCUGCCGGACCUGACUGCUAUCGGAUUGAUACUAAGCCAUGCGAGUCAUUGUAGCAAUACAAGGCAUACGGCUCAGUAACGCGUAGUCAACCUAACCUAUGGACGGGAAUAACCUCGGGAAACUGAGAAUAAUGCCCGAUAGAACAUUAUGCCUGGAAUGGUUUAUGUUCCAAAUGAUUUAUCGCCAUAGGAUGGGACUGCGGCCUAUCAGUUUGUUGGUGAGGUAAUGGCCCACCAAGACUAUUACAGGUACGGGCUCUGAGAGGAGUAGCCCGGAGAUGGGUACUGAGACACGGACCCAGGCCCUAUGGGGCGCAGCAGGCGAGAAAACUUUGCAAUGUGCGAAAGCACGACAAGGUUAAUCCGAGUGGUUUCUGCUAAAUGAACCUUUUGUCAGUCCUAGAAACACUGAUGAAUAAGGGGUGGGCAAGUUCUGGUGUCAGCCGCCGCGGUAAAACCAGCACCUCAAGUGGUCAGGAUGAUUAUUGGGCCUAAAGCAUCCGUAGCCGGCUCUGUAAGUUUUCGGUUAAAUCUGUACGCUCAACGUACAGGCUGCCGGGAAUACUGCAGAGCUAGGGAGUGGGAGAAGUAGACGGUACUCGGUAGGAAGUGGUAAAAUGCUUUGAUCUAUCGAUGACCACCUGUGGCGAAGGCGGUCUACUAGAACACGUCCGACGGUGAGGGAUGAAAGCUGGGGGAGCAAACCGGAUUAGAUACCCGGGUAGUCCCAGCUGUAAACUAUGCAAACUCAGUGAUGCAUUGGCUUGUGGCCAAUGCAGUGCUGCAGGGAAGCCGUUAAGUUUGCCGCCUGGGAAGUACGUACGCAAGUAUGAAACUUAAAGGAAUUGGCGGGGGAGCACCACAAGGGGUGAAGCCUGCGGUUCAAUUGGAUUCAACGCCGGA
This 913-nucleotide ribosomal RNA is filed under the name uncultured marine archaeon. RNAcentral describes it as "bacterial SSU rRNA". It matches the Rfam family "Archaeal small subunit ribosomal RNA", at positions 1 to 922 of the family's 1478-position model. The record is from RNAcentral.